UCUUCAUCGCUUCACUCUCUCUCUCUCUCUCUCUCUCUCUGAAAGCAUCAACACGCAACAGAGAAGUAAGGAACCCUGAAAAAUCAAUUAUCAUCUGAUCCUGUUGGGUCCCCAAUAUGUGUGCACCACUUUUUCGACUUUCAUAUGCACUACUUGUGGUGGGAUUCACCAUGAAUUCACACACCGAGUAAAGUCAGUAUUAAUGGCUAAAUUUACACCAUAAAAGAUUGCUUCUCUUCAGGCUGACGGAAAUGAGCGUGCAAAGGAAAUACACUUUAAAGAUUGGGAUUCUCAACGGCAAGCUGCUCACGAUAGCAGGUAAUUCUUGAGGAAGUUGAAAAAGGUUAAGAAGAGCAACAAUCAGAAUUUUGCCAUCAAUGAGGUAAAUAUGCAUCUUCAUAUGGAAUUAUAAAUUUUGCCUCAACUUUUAGUUUUACAGUUUUCCCUACAACCAAACUGAGAAUGAUUUUCACUCACGCACAACUCCAAUGAUUUUCUUUCAUUGAUGUUACAUGUACCAAACUUGUGCGAAUAACAAUUGGCAGGUAAAGUUGCAAUCCAUCAUAUCAAUGCUCGAGUGUUUGCUAAUAAGGGUUACUUUCCUUUUGGAUUAUUUCAUCAUAUCAGCUCCAUCUAGACUCAAACCAGUAAAAAAUAACAGAGAAAAGGCAGGGUAUGCACUAGGCAAUGAUGGAAUUGUGAUGGAAAGAUUCUUGUGCUGAAGCGAAGUAAUAAUGUUGACAUUUUGUUUUCCUCGGUGGUCAUCCAGAGUAUGACCAAGCUGUUGAGAGAGUUAGGGAGCUUAGAUCAGACUACAAAAUGUUCGCCAGGGCCCUGACCAGGAAAGAAACUGCUUUGGCAAAAUUGGCAAAGACUUCAAAGGAUUAUGAACCAGCUAUUGAAGCGUUCCACAAAUUAAAGCUUUGACAGAGGACCGCAAUCCCGAUACUCUACAAAGCUGUUUGAUGCUGAAAGGGCAAAGAAAGAACCGGAACAGCAGGAGUAUUUCAAUCCUAAAGUGGCUGAUGAAGAACGUGAGAAAGGUAAUGAGUAUUUUAAGGAGCAAAAGUAUCCUGAAGCAGUGAAGCAUUACACAGAAGCUAUCAGAAGGAACCCUACAGACCCAAAGGCUUACAGCAACAGAGCUGCAAGUUACACCAAGCUAGGGGCAAUGCCAGAAGCGUUGAAAGAUGCUGACAGUUAUGCAUCUCAUUUCUGCAGGCAAAAGCAAUGCAGGACCCCGAAAUCCAGAAUAUUCUCACCGAUCUUGUAAUGAGACAGGACUUCUUGUGUUGGAUGCUUUCAAUACAUUUGCCGUCUAGCUGUGUUCAAGAAUUGUCCUAUUUUUAAACAAGGGAUUUGACACCAAGGAAUUAUCUGCAAUACGUAUAGCUUGAUACCCUGUAUUUCCUUUUAGGAAGUAGGUAAAAACAGCCCACCAUUUUGCGUGCUAUUCAUCGGCACACGUGAAACAUGGUUCACACAUCCUUGUUAUUGUAAUUCUGGUAGCUUGUUUGCAACUAUAAUGAUUCUCUGUACACUUGAAUGAAGAUCUUUCUCCUAUUAAUUUGGCUACUUCCAAACCUUUCAAUUAGGUUCAUUGUUUCACUUAA
This is a long non-coding RNA of Beta vulgaris subsp. vulgaris (sugar beet), 1613 nucleotides long. RefSeq lists it as uncharacterized. The transcript is spliced from 12 exons. Lineage: Eukaryota; Viridiplantae; Streptophyta; Magnoliopsida; Caryophyllales; Amaranthaceae. The record is from RefSeq and is a predicted model, not a curated record.